This 544-nucleotide ribosomal RNA is filed under the name uncultured Mycoplasma sp. RNAcentral describes it as "partial 16S ribosomal RNA". It matches the Rfam family "Bacterial small subunit ribosomal RNA", at positions 36 to 538 of the family's 1533-position model. Lineage: Bacteria; Bacillati; Mycoplasmatota; Mollicutes; Mycoplasmatales; Mycoplasmataceae. The record is from RNAcentral.
AUUGAACGCUGGCGGCAGGCUUAACACAUGCAAGUCGAACGGUAGCAGGAGAAAGCUUGCUUUCUUGCUGACGAGUGGCGGACGGGUGAGUAAUGCUUGGGAAUCUGGCUUAUGGAGGGGGAUAACUACGGGAAACUGUAGCUAAUACCGCGUAAUAUCGAAAGAUUAAAGUGUGGGACCUUCGGGCCACAUGCCAUAAGAUGAGCCCAAGUGGGAUUAGGUAGUUGGUGGGGUAAAGGCCUACCAAGCCGACGAUCUCUAGCUGGUCUGAGAGGAUGACCAGCCCCACUGGAACAGAGACACCGUCCAGACUCCUACGGGUGGCAGCAGUGGGGAAUAUUUUUUUUUGGGGGGAACCCUGACGCCCCCUGCCGCGUGAAUGAAAUAAGCCCUCUGGUUGUUAAGUUCUUUUGUUAUAGAGGAAGGGAUGUGUGCCACUAUUUUAGAUCCUGGUUCUCAUAAGAAAGACGGGCUACUUCCCUCCUGCCACCGCGUGUUAUUAGGGGGGGCGAGAUUUUUUGUAUAUUUUGUGUUAUAAGGUAAA